CAGGAGGGGCGUCAGCCAGAGGGUCCCCCAGCAGGACCCCAAACUUUCAAAACUGCUGACAUAAACCCACUGAGAGAUCCUGUACGGAUCGGAAACAGUAUGAACCAUCACAGACUACAGGGCUGGGAAAAAUUAGAUAAUUCCCCCUGGGUGUCAGGAAGGGCUCCUGGAGCUGGACCCAGUUGCAGACAGGCGGUCAGAAGCAGUAAGAGUGUCUUGGUGUCCUUGGGGUGAAACGGGGAAGGCAGUGACCGCAGGAAGUGCUGAAGCGGUGCUCAGCUCCAGUUCUGCUGAUUUUAAGCAAGAGCAGCGCCUGUGAGUGGGCAGCAAAGCCUCGGUGACCCGUCCUCCCCUUGUCUGUGUCAUGAUGUUUGGAUGGGUUGUACUGGAAUUCUAAUUUCCCCUCGGCGAUCAAUAAAGUAUCUUUGAAUUGA
This is a long non-coding RNA of Girardinichthys multiradiatus, 434 nucleotides long. RefSeq lists it as uncharacterized. The record is from RefSeq and is a predicted model, not a curated record. NCBI's taxonomy places the organism in Eukaryota, Metazoa, Chordata, Actinopteri, Cyprinodontiformes, Goodeidae. The transcript is spliced from 4 exons.